CCUACGGGAGGCAGCAGUGGGGAAUAUUGGGCAAUGGACGCAACUCUGACCCAGCAACGCCGCGUGAAUGAUGAAGGUCCUCGGAUUGUUAAGUUCUUUUUUUAGGGAAGAAGAAAGUGACGGUACUUCAGGAAUAAGCCUCGGCUAACUACGUGCCAGCAGCCGCGGUAUUACGUAGGAGGCAAGCGUUAUCCGGAUUGAAUGGGCGUAAAGGGUGUGUAGGUGUUUUGACAAGUUAGUAGCGCAACUCCGGGGCUCAACUUCGGAACUACUACUAAAACUGUUGGACUUGAGUGCAGGAGGGGCAAUCGGAAUGCGUGGUGUAGCGGUGGAAUGCAUAGAUAUUAGGAGGAACACCAGUGGCGAAGGCGGAUUGCUAGACUGUAACUGACACUGAGGCACGAAAGCGUGGGGAGCAAACAGGAUUAGAUACCCGAGUAGUC
RNAcentral lists this ribosomal RNA (443 nucleotides) under uncultured bacterium. Its description in RNAcentral is "partial 16S ribosomal RNA". It matches the Rfam family "Bacterial small subunit ribosomal RNA", at positions 338 to 795 of the family's 1533-position model. The record is from RNAcentral.